UAAGAGGGAACCCGGUGGGAAUCCGGGACUGUCCCGCAGCGGUAUGCAGGAACGAACGCCGUCAUCCGCACUGGUCGCAAGGCUGGGAAGCGACGGCCAUUAGGAACCCUGCCCGGCUCGUCAGCGGCCCCUUCUGGGGCGCGUCGUCAGCCGGGCGCGGAGCACCGACCCGGUGCGUGCCUGCGAGUCCGAAGACCU
Molecule: non-coding RNA, 198 nt
Filed under: Mycobacterium asiaticum
Lineage: Bacteria; Bacillati; Actinomycetota; Actinomycetes; Mycobacteriales; Mycobacteriaceae
Source: RNAcentral